This is a long non-coding RNA of Zalophus californianus (California sea lion), 233 nucleotides long. RefSeq lists it as uncharacterized. Lineage: Eukaryota; Metazoa; Chordata; Mammalia; Carnivora; Otariidae. The transcript is spliced from 3 exons. The record is from RefSeq and is a predicted model, not a curated record.
GAAACCCGGAGGAGGUAGGGCUUAAUCUGCACCUUGAAAAAAGCAGAGGCUUAACAAGAGGAGAUGCAGUCCAAAGAGUGCUAUAUCGUGAUCCUUCUCCAUUCCAUGACUUGGCCUUCAUCCAGAAGAACUGGCUGUGUAACAAUUCCCAUGAGUGUUUUCACUGAAGUCUCUGUCAGCAUUUUGUGAAAUCCAAAUUCUCCUUCGACUCUGAUACUCCCAGAAGCUCUUUU